GAUUGAAAUAAAUUAGUUGGUUUUGGUGUUAGUUUCUUUUAUCUCCCUCCUUUUUUUUUCCUGGGUCUGGAAAUCGUUUUCUUUCAUCUGAUUCUAAUUUCUGAGACAUGUCCUUCUUGUUGUUUACUAUCUGCAGUAUAGCUGCCCUUUGCUGCUGCUUCUUGUUGGAGAACUGCUAGCUGCUUCUUGGCAAAGGAGCCAUCACCUUUUGUAUACAUAUAUAAUUCUGGUUUUGUCAUUGGAUUUUGUUAUUUCUCUGCAGUUGGAUUCUUAAGACUAGAAUUCUAUCAAUUUUGUACAUAUAUAUUGUAUAACUUUUAACUCGUUAAAGUAGUUCGUGAAAUUGUAAUAUUUACUAAGAAGUUCAUAAAUUUUUAGAAUGGUUAUUUUUUUUAUAUAUCAUUUUAAAGUUAAUCUCAUUACGUGAGAGAUUUUUUUAGUGUACCUGAGCACCAUGAUAUAAUAAUUUUACUAGUUUUAUAAAACACAUUUGUUGUAGCCCUUAGGGGUGGGUUCAAAAAACCGAAAACCGAAAAAAACCGAAAACCAAACCGAACCGAAGCCGAAAAAAACCGAACCGAAAAAAAACCGAACCGAACCGAAUCUGGUUGGUUCGGUUUCGGUUUUUGAGGUCCGGAAACCGAACCGGACCGAACCGAACCGAAAAAAAAAUCAUAUAUAAAUUCUAAAAAAACAUGUAGGCGCCGGGGUUUGAACCCCUUCCCCAUAGCUUAGGAUUAGUUGCUGCAAGCCAACUUGACUGUGGGCUUUGAGUUGUUAUUAUUGUACCAAUAUAAUAUUUAUAGGCUUCUUUUAUUUAAUGCUUUAUAAAAUUUCUUAAACUUUACAAACCCUAGCCGUCUCACACUUUAUCUCACUUCCCAUUUCAGAUUUCAAACACUCCUCCGCUGCGUCCUCUCUCUGCCUUUUGCUUCCUCAGCCCCCCUCUCUCUCUCUCUCUCUCUCUCUCUCUCCUUCCUCUCUUCCUCCAAAUCACUCUCUCUCCAGUCUUCUCAUGUCCUCCUCACGGAUUCCUUUUUCCAAACCAUGAUUUUCCCUCGCCCCUUUCGAAUCAGAACCCCCUCUAAAUUGGAAGAUUCGAAUCCGGGUUUUCCGAUCUCUCACAGGUAAUUUUCGAAUCAAAACUAAUAUGAUUUAUAAUUUUAUAUUGUGAUUUACUGAAUUAAAAUGGGUUUUUCCUUUCAUUAUUUGUUGGGAUUUGCAUGUUAUAAUCUUUGCAGAUUUGUUGGGAAUUUAUAUUGUAAUUUUCGUAUUCAUUUGCAGAUUUGUUGGGAUUUUAUAUUGUGAUUUACUGAAUUAAAAUGGGUUUUUCUUUUAAUUAUUAGUUGGGAUUUUGCAUGUUAUAAUCUUUGCAGAUUUGUUGGGAUUUGGGAUUUUAUAUUGUAAUUUUCGUUUUCAUUUGCAGAUUUGUUCCAGUUCGUAUUCAUUUGCAGAUUUCUUCCAGUGCAGAUUUGCAGAUUUGUUACAGUUCAUAUUCAUUUGCACCAACACCCAAUAAGUUUCUGCAUCUUCAGUGCUCGCAAUCAAUCGUUGCAGAUUUGUUCCAAAUUAAAAAAAAAAAAUAGUAUGGAAAAAACCGAACCGGACUGAAACCGAACCGAAAAAAAUCAAAACCGAAAAAAACCGAACCGAAAAAAAACCAAAAAAAAUUGAACCGAACCGAACUGAACCGAAAUUUCGGUUCGGUUUCGGUUUUGACUAAAAACCGAACCGUUUCAAACCGAACCCAGCCCUAGUAGCCCUAUUUAACUGAAGAAUUAUAAAAAGAGAGGGUACAAAGAGAAAUUUAGUGAAUUAUGAGAUGUGUUUGAUCUCAACCUAUUUUGUCAUUAUGUAAAUUCUUUACCCUUUAGAUAUUACAACUGAAAUAAGACACUAUUUAAAAGAACGGCAACACAUAAUACUUUCUCCAAUUUUUACUAAAUUGAUAUCAGUUCAUUCUAUAAUUGUCAGUGUUUUAAAAAAUGCGCCCCGAGGAGCGCCUAGGCGGCUUUGGAGGCGGAGCGUCGGUGAAAUUGCCUUUGCCCAGUGAGAGAAGGUGAAAACUUGCCUAGACGUGGUGGAGGCGAGCCUAAGGCGGUCAAUCGGGCGUCGUUUUUGUGUAAGAGCUGCUGGAAUCUGGAAAAUUUCGGUUGAAUAUGGAAGUUGCAGACGCAGCAAUGCUGCGUGAAGAAGAUGAAUAGCACGGCGUCGUUUGCUUCGCUUUCAUUUGCUUACUUUUUAUUUUUUUAAUAUUAUUUUUUUGGCUGAUUCUUUUUCUCUUUAAAGUGACUUUCAGCAGUCCAACAUCCCAACUUCUAGCAUCCAAAGCAUAUGCUCCC
RNAcentral lists this long non-coding RNA (2342 nucleotides) under Malus domestica (apple). Its description in RNAcentral is "long non-coding RNA (MDOM_LNC011894)". Lineage: Eukaryota; Viridiplantae; Streptophyta; Magnoliopsida; Rosales; Rosaceae. The record is from RNAcentral.